GUGCCAGCAGCCGCGGUAAUACGUAGGUGGCAAGCGUUAUCCGGGAAUUAUUGGGCGUAAAGCGCGCGUAGGCGGUUUUUUAAGUCUGAUGUGAAAGCCCACGGCUCAACCGUGGAGGGUCAUUGGAAACUGGAAAACUUGAGUGCAGAAGAGGAAAGUGGAAUUCCAUGUGUAGCGGUGAAAUGCGCAGAGAUAUGGAGGAACACCAGUGGCGAAGGCGACUUUCUGGUCUGUAACUGACGCUGAUGUGCGAAAGCGUGGGGAUCAAACAGGAUUAGAUACCCUGGUAGUCC
This 293-nucleotide ribosomal RNA is filed under the name uncultured microorganism. Its description in RNAcentral is "partial 16S ribosomal RNA". It matches the Rfam family "Bacterial small subunit ribosomal RNA", at positions 505 to 796 of the family's 1533-position model. The record is from RNAcentral.